UUUCUUCCGUUUAGGUGAACCUGCGGAAGGAUCAUUACAGAAUGAAAAGUGCUUAACUGCAUUUUUUCUUACACAUGUGUUUUUCUUUUUUUGAAAACUUUGCUUUGGUAGGCCUUCUAUAUGGGGCCUGCCAGAGAUUAAACUCAACCAAAUUUUAUUUAAUGUCAACCGAUUAUUUAAUAGUCAAAACUUUCAACAACGGAUCUCUUGGUUCUCGCAUCGAUGAAGAACGCAGCGAAAUGCGAUAAGUAAUAUGAAUUGCAGAUAUUCGUGAAUCAUCGAAUCUUUGAACGCACAUUGCGCCCUUUGGUAUUCCAAAGGGCAUGCCUGUUUGAGCGUCAUUUCUCCCUCAAACCCUCGGGUUUGGUGUUGAGCGAUACGCUGGGUUUGCUUGAAAGAAAGGCGGAGUAUAAACUAAUGGAUAGGUUUUUUCCACUCAUUGGUACAAACUCCAAAACUUCUUCCAAAUUCGACCUCAAAUCAGGUAGGACUACCCGCUGAACUUAACCAUAUCAAUAAGCCGGGAG
This 527-nucleotide ribosomal RNA is filed under the name Lodderomyces parapsilosis. RNAcentral's name for it is "eukaryotic LSU rRNA". The stretch from base 188 to 341 matches the Rfam family "5.8S ribosomal RNA". Lineage: Eukaryota; Fungi; Ascomycota; Pichiomycetes; Serinales; Debaryomycetaceae. The record is from RNAcentral.